UUAUAGCGGAGGAAAGAACCAACAGGGAUUGCCCCAGUAACGGCGAGUGAAGCGGCAACAGCUCAAAUUUGAAAUCUGGCCUCGGCCCGAGUUGUAAUUUGUAGAGGAUGCUUCUGGCGACGUUCCUUCCGAGUCCCCUGGAACGGGGCGCCGUAGAGGGUGAGAGCCCCGUACGGUUGGAUACCUAGCCUCUGUGAAGCUCCUUCGACGAGUCGAGUAGUUUGGGAAUGCUGCUCUAAGCGGGAGGUAAAUUCCUUCUAAAGCUAAAUACCGGCCAGAGACCGAUAGCGCACAAGUAGAGUGAUCGAAAGAUGAAAAGCACUUUGGAAAGAGGGUUAAACAGUACGUGAAAUUGCUGAAAGGGAAGCGCUUGCGACCAGACUCGGGCCUGGCGGAUCAUCCGGCGUUCUCGCCGGUGCACUUCGUCUGGCCUGGGCCAGCAUCGGUUCGUCCGGGGGGAUAAAAGCUCGGGAAACGUAGCUUCCUCCGGGAAGUGUUAUAGUCCCCCGCCUAAUGCCCCCGGCCGGACCGAGGACCGCGCUAACGCAAGGAUGCUGGCGUAAUGGUCGUCAGCG
RNAcentral lists this ribosomal RNA (575 nucleotides) under Lulworthia fucicola. RNAcentral's name for it is "eukaryotic LSU rRNA". It matches the Rfam family "Eukaryotic large subunit ribosomal RNA", at positions 43 to 646 of the family's 3401-position model. Lineage: Eukaryota; Fungi; Ascomycota; Sordariomycetes; Lulworthiales; Lulworthiaceae. The record is from RNAcentral.